UUAGAAUUAGAGAUUUUUUUACUGGGGGAAAAAACACUUUGAAAACAUUUAUACUGGUUAGUACCAUUGUUGUACAAUGUGAAACAUACUGUACUGCUUGUAAUGUUAGUUCAGUUACAGCAAGGAAAAAAAUCUACUAAAUUCUCAUGAUAUACAGUGCCUUCGGGAAAAGUAGUCAGACCCCUUGACUUUUUCCACAUUUUGUUACAUUACAGCCUUAAUUCUAAAAUUGAUUAAAUUGUUGUUUUUCUAAUCAAAGUACACACAAAACCCCAUAAUGACAAAGAAAAAACAGUUUGACAUUUUUCUAAUUAAUUAGAAAUAAAAAAUGAAAUAUCAUAUUUACAUAUGUUUUAGACCCUUUACUCAGUACUUUGUUGAAGCACCUUUGGCAGCGGUUACAGCAUUGAGUCUUCUUGGGUAUGAUGCUACAGGCUUGGCACACCUGUAUUUGGGGAGUUUCUCCAUUCUUCUCUGCAGAUCCUCUGAAGCUCUGUCAGGUUGGAUGGGGAGCGUUGCUGCACAGCUACUUUCAGGUCUCUCCAGAGAUGCUCAAUCGGGUUCAAGUCCGGGCUCUGGCUGGAACACUCAAGGACAUUCAAAGACCUGUUCUGAAGCCACUCCUGCAUUGUCUUGACUGUGUGCUUAGGGUCAUUGUCCUGUUGGAAGGUGAACUGUCGCCCCAGUCGGAGAUCCUGAGCGCUCUGGAGCAGGUUUUCAUCGAGGAUCUCAUCUUUGCCUUGAUCCUGACUAGUCUCCCAGUCCCUGUCGCUGAAAAACAUUAAGCUGCCACUACCAUGCUUCACCGUAGGGAUGGUGCCAGGUGUCUUCCAGACGUGACGCUUGGCAUUCAGGCCAAAGAGUUCAAUCUUUGUUUCAUCAGACCAGAGAAUCUUGUUUCUCCUGGUCUGAGAUUCUUUAGGUGCCUUUUGGCAAACUCCAAGUAGGCUAUCAUGUGCCUUUUACAGAGGAGUGGCUUCCAUCUGGCUAUUCUACAAUAAAGGCCUAAUUUGUGGAGUGCUGCAGAGAUGGGAGAACCUUCUAGAACGACAACCAUCUCCACAGGGGAACUCUAGAGCUCUGUCAGAGUGACCAUCGGAUUCUUGGUCACCUCCCUGACCAAGGCCCUUCUCCCCCGAAUGCUCAGUUUGGGUGGGCGGUCAGCUCUAGGAAGAGUCUUCCAUUUAAGAAUCAUGGAGGCCACUGUGUUCUUGGGUACCUUCAAUGCUGCAGAUAUUUUUGGUACCCUUCGCCAGAUCUGUGCCUCGACAAAGUCCUGUCUUGGAGCUCUACAGACAAUCCCUUCGACCUCGUGCCAUGGGUUUUGCUUUGACAUGCACUGUCUGUCAACUGUGGGACCUGAGACAACUGGACUCUAAUCAAGUUGUAGAAACAUCUCAGGGAUGAUCAAUGGAAACAGGAUGCACCUGAGCUUAUUUUCGACUCUCAUAGCAAAGGUUCUGAAUACUUAUGUAAAUAAGGUAUUUCUGUAUUAUAAAAACCUACUUUUGAUUUGUCAUUAUGGGGUAUUGUGAUU
Oncorhynchus tshawytscha (Chinook salmon) is the source of this 1537-nucleotide long non-coding RNA. The record is from Ensembl. NCBI's taxonomy places the organism in Eukaryota, Metazoa, Chordata, Actinopteri, Salmoniformes, Salmonidae.